This is a long non-coding RNA of Gorilla gorilla gorilla (western lowland gorilla), 2831 nucleotides long. RefSeq lists it as uncharacterized. The transcript has 4 exons. The record is from RefSeq and is a predicted model, not a curated record. Lineage: Eukaryota; Metazoa; Chordata; Mammalia; Primates; Hominidae.
AACAACUGGCUCUGGUUCGUUCGUGCUCUGUGGCAGGUGUGUUCUUUUGCUCUUUGCAAUACCUGUUUUUGCUGCUCACUCUGGGUCUGUGCUGCCUUUAUGAGCUGUAACAGUCACCGCAAAGGUCUGCAGGUUCACUCAUGAAACUAGGGAGACCACGAGCCCACCGGGAGGAAAGAACAACUCCAGACACGCUGCCUUAAGAGCUGUAACACUCACUGUGAGGGGCUGCAGCUUCAGUCCUCAGCCAGCGACACCACGAACCCACCAGAAGGAAGAAACGCCGAACACAUCCGAACAUCGGAAGGAACAAACUCCAGACAUGCCGCCUUUAAAGAACUGUGACACUCACUGUGAGGGUCCGCGGCUUCAUUCUUGAAGCCAGUGAGACCAAGAACCUACCAAUUCCGGACCCAGCAGGACGGGGAGAUAGUCCACGUGAAACCCAUCUGGUUUUACUAAUUGGCUCUUAUUGACGACUAAAAGGGAGGAAGAAGAGCUUUCUCUGGAAAUGAAAUCAAGCAGCUUUCCUUGUAUUGAAAGGAAAGCGACUGAAGACAGAGUGUUCCAAGAACCAAGAGAUUGAAUAUGGCUGAUGUGUGGAGAGAAGAGAUGGACCAAGAUGAGACUGGAAAGCUGUAGAAGGCUGUUCAGCCAUGCCUAGGAGCAAGCCAACAGUAAGGAAGACGAAUGCUUUCCAUUACAGCUCUCCAAAAAUGGGGAAUGUGAAUCAAGGUACAAAUGUCUAUAUGUCUGUCUUCUAAUGAGGUAACCAGAGCUAACCAGCUCAUAAGUACACCAUCCAUUGUUUUUGAGUGUGUUUUUGUUUGUUCCCCUCACCUCUGCCUCCCAUUUUCUGUUUUACUUUGCCAUCUCCUUUAUUCCUGUUUACUGAGAUCACCUCCAGAAUAAAUUUAUCUUUACCUAAGAGUCUAUCAACAUAUCUGGGGGUAUUUGCUUUAGGGCAACCCAAGUUAAGGCAGAGUAUCAAGCAUAUGAGAAAAAUAGCAUGUGCAAAGACCCUUCCUUGUGAAAGAGAAAGACAUUGCAGCAAGGGUAGUACAGAGAGGAGUAUUUAGAGAUGAGGCAUGAUUUAAAAGGUUCAUGUGUAUUGCAAUACUGAAAUAAGGAUGUUUUCAACCUGUUCUUUAUUUAAUAGAGACGGUAUCAGUUUUUAUGCAGAUGGAGGCAUGAUGUGAUCUGUGUUUUAGAGCAAUUAGAGGAGACAUGAGAGGCAGGGAGACUAGUUGGGAUGCUAUUGCAAGAGUUCAGUCACGAAACAGUAAGGAAGUCAAUCAAGGUAAUGACAGAGAACCACGACUGAAGUGAUAGAGAAAGGUCAUACAAUGCUAUUUCAUAUUGGAUAGAAUUUAUUGACUGCAUAGUUAUAAAAGGUGGAAAGAGAGAGCUGGUAGUGAUUCCAUGGUUUUUGCUUGGAUAACUAGGUGGUUCUGAUUAAGUGAGGGAGGAAAUGCUCAAUGGAAUAAUAUGAUUGUCCAAUGUUAUUAGAGACUGUUUAGUUCUGUGUUUCUUAAACAUUAAUGUGUAGGUAAAUUACCCCCCAGGAUCUUGUUAAAGUGUGAAUUUAGCAGUUGUAGACUGGGACCUGUACUUCAAACAAACCCCUAGAGAUAUGGAUGCUGUUGGUCUGUAGAGCACACAUGUACAAGUUAAAGACCCUGGCUCUGAUUUUCAAAUCCAGUAUUGGCUUGUGCAUUUGCUUAGAACCUCCAGCCCUCUUGAUUUUUUUUCCUUCUAGUUUUAACCUGAAAGCAUCUUUGGUUUAUUUUCCCAUAGUCCAAGCUUCUAAUUACUGCACUAGUCUUUCCAGUAGUAACUUUUCAGUGGUGCAUAUCUCUUUUUUAUUUUUGCUGCCAAUAUUCCAAUCAUCUUUGUCCUGGUAGCCCUAUCCUAACCCUACCUACCUCUGAAAAUUAGUUUAUGUUAACUAUUGGAUUCUCUUUUUUGGCUAUGCCAGUUUGGGAACUUUCCUUUUCCCAAUUUUAUGUCCUUGACACUCCUCAUGGCUGUGCAACUCAUUUCUUAGGUUCACAGUCUCGUUCAAUGUUAGUGCAUUAGUAUAAGCUCCUUACUAUAGUCUUCCUCAUUAUGUUACAUGUUAACUUUUGCCUUAACUUCUCUGACUUCUCUUUAUUCACAGAGAGAAUUUAAAAGAUAUAUGAAAUCUCCAAUUCAAAGAAUAAUUAAAACUUGCCUGUCCAACUUGUUAGAAGACUUUUAUGUCAUAAAGUCUUUUGCUCAUAUGCUUAAAAGGAUUGGGCCAAUCAUAGGAAGCCUAGAACACUAAAUAACUAAAGAAAGGUAGCACACUUUUACAUUUGUUCGUUCUCUUUUGCUAUACUAACUCAACAGGAGUAUAUAUGUGUAUGUGCAAUGAGUUUGGCUUCUCACGAGAAAAAAAAUCUGAGCUUUAUCCAGUCCCUGCUUACCAUAAAUACUAUCUUUGUGUUCCUUUGCUUAAAAUGUUGUGGGGUUUUAUUCAACAUCUGGUUCAGUGGCUCUCAACUGGGAGCAGUAUCCCUUAGUCAGGGAAUGUUUAAAAAACUGUAUGUGCAAAGAGAUUGGGUUGUGACAAUGACUGGUGUGGGGGAUGUCAUUGACAUUUAGAGGAGAAAUUCAGGGAUGUUAAAUAUCGUGGAAUGAGUGUCGUGAUCCUGUCCAUACUUGUAUUUGUUCCUUGUUGAGAAAUACAGAUAGAAUAUUAUUGCAUGGUAUGUAAAUUUGUAUUAUGUGAACUUGAAGAAGAAAAUCACUAUGUCCAUAAAUUAUCUAUUUAGAAGAAUAAUGUAAAACAAUAAAAAUAAUUGAUC